GGCCGGUUGGCCCAAUGGCAAGGCGUCUGACUACGAUCAUGAAUGGUAUCAGGAGAUUCUGGGUUCGACCCCCAGGCUGGUCA
This 83-nucleotide transfer RNA is filed under the name Colletotrichum navitas. RNAcentral's name for it is "tRNA-Arg". It matches the Rfam family "tRNA". Rfam says of the family: Transfer RNA (tRNA) molecules are approximately 80 nucleotides in length. Their secondary structure includes four short double-helical elements and three loops (D, anti-codon, and T loops). Further hydrogen bonds mediate the characteristic L-shaped molecular structure. tRNAs have two regions of fundamental functional importance: the anti-codon, which is responsible for specific mRNA codon recognition, and the 3' end, to which the tRNAs corresponding amino acid is attached (by aminoacyl-tRNA synthetases). tRNAs cope with the degeneracy of the genetic code in two manners: having more than one tRNA (with a specific anti-codon) for a particular amino acid; and 'wobble' base-pairing, i.e. permitting non-standard base-pairing at the 3rd anti-codon position. The record is from RNAcentral. Lineage: Eukaryota; Fungi; Ascomycota; Sordariomycetes; Glomerellales; Glomerellaceae.